Molecule: long non-coding RNA, 690 nt
Organism: Ostrea edulis (European flat oyster)
Lineage: Eukaryota; Metazoa; Mollusca; Bivalvia; Ostreida; Ostreidae
Exons: 2
Source: RefSeq, a predicted model, not a curated record
UGUACAUGUAACUGAACUUAUGAAGUACAUGUAUAUGUGUUCAGUGUUUUAUUAUGUAAAAUCUACUUAGGGGUACAACUACAUUUACAAAUUAUGUACAUGCAUACAAAGGCACAAACACAAUUUCUACCUCAAAACUUUCAUCAGAUACAAGUCAAAAAAUUUAAGAUUAUAAGAAUUAAGCUAAUAAUUAUACAUGUAGCAGAUCUUAGAAAUAUUUUCAUGAAGAGAUACAUUAUUGCUUAUGCUAUCACUUUGCCUAUCUUGGUUGAGUAUAUAGUACACUUGCAGAUGACACACACUGUUUCAUGGAAUACUGAAUCUUAAUUAUUGACAAAUCGUAUAAUUUCAUGAUAUUACAUUUUUUGUUACAUACUAAAUAAGUGCAUGAUUUUUUUCCUUUUAGAAGUCAUGUUUUAAUUGCUGCCCAUCAAAUAGUACAGUGUCUUGCAUGUGUAAAUUAGAUUCAUUUUGAGGAAAUAGCUGGUGUGCAGUGCACAUUCCUAAAUGAAUUCAUCAGUUUACAUUAAGGAUCUACCUUCAAAUCCUGUAAUCUGGAAUGCUCUAAAGUGCAUGUCACAGACUAAAGUUAUAAAAAUAACUUCCAAGAAUUUUUAAGAAAUUGUUAUAACUUUAAAAUAUAUGCAUAUACAUGUAUACUGAUAUUGAAUUAAAUUUUAUAAAAUUUCA